AUGCUGACACAACUUGCAAGCCUUAUCACUAUGUCUAUCUUCUAUGUGAUACAUAUUGCUCCCACAUAUGAUGUGCUAUAUUAUCUCCCAUUUGAUUUCCUGCUUCCCUUGAAUAGUUGA
Molecule: ribosomal RNA, 120 nt
Filed under: Triticum aestivum (bread wheat)
Lineage: Eukaryota; Viridiplantae; Streptophyta; Magnoliopsida; Poales; Poaceae
Description: partial small subunit ribosomal RNA
Source: RNAcentral